Molecule: ribosomal RNA, 494 nt
Filed under: uncultured bacterium
Lineage: Bacteria
Description: bacterial SSU rRNA
Rfam family: Bacterial small subunit ribosomal RNA
Source: RNAcentral
AAAUGAAUUGACGGGGACCCGCACAAGCGGUGGAGCAUGUGGUUUAAUUCGAAGCAACGCGAAGAACCUUACCUGGUCUUGACAUCCUUCCGACCGGACCUUAACCGGUCCUUUCCUUCGGGACGGGAGAGACAGGUGGUGCAUGGUUGUCGUCAGCUCGUGUCGUGAGAUGUUGGGUUAAGUCCCGCAACGAGCGCAACCCUUAUCUUUAGUAGCCAGCAUUUAAGAUGGGCACUCUAGAGAGACUGCCAGGGAUAACCUGGAGGAAGGUGGGGAUGACGUCAAAUCAUCAUGCCCCUUAUGGCCAGGGCUACACACGUGCUACAAUGGUGGUAACAGAGUGAAGCAAACCCGCGAGGGGGAGCAAAUCACAAAAAUGCCAUCUCAGUUCGGAUUGUAGUCUGCAACUCGACUACAUGAAGCUGGAAUCGCUAGUAAUCGCGAAUCAGAAUGUCGCGGUGAAUACGUUCCCGGGUCUUGUACACACCGCCCGU